UGGGGAAUUUUGCACAAUGGGGGAAACCCUGAUGCAGCGACGCCGCGUGAUUUAGAAGGCCUUCGGGUUGUAAAAAUCUUUUCUAUGGGAAGAAAAUGACAGUACCAUAGGAAUAAGGACCGGCUAAUUACGUGCCAGCAGCCGCGGUAAUACGUAAGGUCCGAGCGUUGUCCGGAAUCAUUGGGCGUAAAGGGUACGUAGGCGGGUAAGCAAGUUAGAAGUGAAAUCCUGUAGCUCAACUACAGUAAGCUUUUAAAACUGCUCAUCUUGAGGUAUGGAAGGGAAAGUGGAAUUCCUAGUGUAGCGGUGAAAUGCGCAGAUAUUAGGAGGAAUACCGGUGGCGAAGGCGACUUUCUGGCCAUAUACUGACGCUGAGGUACGAAAGCGUGGGUAGCAAACAGG
This 402-nucleotide ribosomal RNA is filed under the name Verrucomicrobiota bacterium. RNAcentral describes it as "Verrucomicrobia bacterium partial 16S ribosomal RNA". It matches the Rfam family "Bacterial small subunit ribosomal RNA", at positions 355 to 776 of the family's 1533-position model. The record is from RNAcentral. Lineage: Bacteria; Pseudomonadati; Verrucomicrobiota.